Molecule: transfer RNA, 74 nt
Filed under: Bacteroidota bacterium
Lineage: Bacteria; Pseudomonadati; Bacteroidota
Description: tRNA-Pro
Rfam family: tRNA
About the family: Transfer RNA (tRNA) molecules are approximately 80 nucleotides in length.
Source: RNAcentral
CGGGGUGUAGCGCAGACCGGUAGCGCGCUUGCUUCGGGAGUAAGAGGUCGUGAGUUCGAAUCUCAUCACCCCGA